RNAcentral lists this ribosomal RNA (1007 nucleotides) under Enterococcus faecium. RNAcentral describes it as "bacterial SSU rRNA". It matches the Rfam family "Bacterial small subunit ribosomal RNA", at positions 32 to 1015 of the family's 1533-position model. Lineage: Bacteria; Bacillati; Bacillota; Bacilli; Lactobacillales; Enterococcaceae. The record is from RNAcentral.
GCCGCGGGCGGCAGCACAACAUGCAGUCGACGCUUCUUUUUCCCCGGAGCUUGCUCCACCGGAAAAAGAAGAGUGGCGAACGGGUGAGUAACACGUGGGUAACCUGCCCAUCAGAAGGGGAUAACACUUGGAAACAGGUGCUAAUACCGUAUAACAAUCAAAACCGCAUGGUUUUGAUUUGAAAGGCGCUUUCGGGUGUCGCUGAUGGAUGGACCCGCGGUGCAUUAGCUAGUUGGUGAGGUAACGGCUCACCAAGGCCACGAUGCAUAGCCGACCUGAGAGGGUGAUCGGCCACAUUGGGACUGAGACACGGCCCAAACUCCUACGGGAGGCAGCAGUAGGGAAUCUUCGGCAAUGGACGAAAGUCUGACCGAGCAACGCCGCGUGAGUGAAGAAGGUUUUCGGAUCGUAAAACUCUGUUGUUAGAGAAGAACAAGGAUGAGAGUAACUGUUCAUCCCUUGACGGUAUCUAACCAGAAAGCCACGGCUAACUACGUGCCAGCAGCCGCGGUAAUACGUAGGUGGCAAGCGUUGUCCGGAUUUAUUGGGCGUAAAGCGAGCGCAGGCGGUUUCUUAAGUCUGAUGUGAAAGCCCCCGGCUCAACCGGGGAGGGUCAUUGGAAACUGGGAGACUUGAGUGCAGAAGAGGAGAGUGGAAUUCCAUGUGUAGCGGUGAAAUGCGUAGAUAUAUGGAGGAACACCAGUGGCGAAGGCGGCUCUCUGGUCUGUAACUGACGCUGAGGCUCGAAAGCGUGGGGAGCAAACAGGAUUAGAUACCCUGGUAGUCCACGCCGUAAACGAUGAGUGCUAAGUGUUGGAGGGUUUCCGCCCUUCAGUGCUGCAGCUAACGCAUUAAGCACUCCGCCUGGGGAGUACGACCGCAAGGUUGAAACUCAAAGGAAUUGACGGGGGCCCGCACAAGCGGUGGAGCAUGUGGUUUAAUUCGAAGCAACGCGAAGAACCUUACCAGGUCUUGACAUCCUUUGACCACUCUAGAAAUAGAGCUUC